AGAGUUUGAUCCUGGCUCAGGACGAACGCUGGCGGCGUGCUUAACACAUGCAAGUCGAACGGAAAGGCUCCUGCUUGCAGGGGUACUCGAGUGGCGAACGGGUGAGUAACACGUGGGUGAUCUGCCCUUCACUUCGGGAUAAGCCUGGGAAACUGGGUCUAAUACCGGAUAGGACCAAUCUUUAGUGUGGUUGGUGGGAAGUUUUUUCGGUGGAGGAUGAGCCCGCGGCCUAUCAGCUUGUUGGUGGGGUAAUGGCCUACCAAGGCGACGACGGGUAGCCGGCCUGAGAGGGUGGACGGCCACAUUGGGACUGAGACACGGCCCAGACUCCUACGGGAGGCAGCAGUGGGGAAUAUUGCACAAUGGGCGGAAGCCUGAUGCAGCGACGCCGCGUGAGGGAUGACGGCCUUCGGGUUGUAAACCUCUUUCGCUAGGGAAGAAGCCCUUCGGGGUGACGGUACCUGGAUAAGAAGCACCGGCUAACUACGUGCCAGCAGCCGCGGUAAUACGUAGGGUGCGAGCGUUGUCCGGAAUUACUGGGCGUAAAGAGCUCGUAGGUGGUUUGUCGCGUCGUUUGUGAAAUUCCGGGGCUUAACUCCGGGCGUGCAGGCGAUACGGGCAAGCUGGAGUGCUGUAGGGGAGACUGGAAUUCCUGGUGUAGCGGUGGAAUGCGCAGAUAUCAUGAGGAACACCGAUGGCGAAAGCAGGUCUCUGGGCAGUUACUGACACUGAGGAGCGAAAGCAUGGGGUAGCGAACAGGAUUAGAUACCCUGGUAGUCCAUGCCGUAAACGUCGGGCGC
RNAcentral lists this ribosomal RNA (800 nucleotides) under uncultured bacterium. Its description in RNAcentral is "bacterial SSU rRNA". It matches the Rfam family "Bacterial small subunit ribosomal RNA", at positions 8 to 816 of the family's 1533-position model. The record is from RNAcentral.